Long non-coding RNA from Monodelphis domestica (gray short-tailed opossum), 1033 nucleotides. The record is from Ensembl. NCBI's taxonomy places the organism in Eukaryota, Metazoa, Chordata, Mammalia, Didelphimorphia, Didelphidae.
AUGCUGGGACAGUGCUAUACCCAGCACAAUCAAGCCACAUUUAUUUCCCUACAAACAGGACUUGCAGUUUCCAAACCUGAUAUAAUCUUCCAACUGGAACAAGGGAAGGAGUUGUGGAUGCUGAAGAGAAAAGUGCUAAGAAGCACACCUCCAGCCCAGAAAACUAGGUCUGAGAACAAAAUGGCAAUUCCAAACAAGGAUAUUUCUGAAGAAAAGUCAUCCCAUGGAGACAAAAUGGCAAGUCUUGAUAGGAGUAAUACUUGGUAUUCUAAUCCAAUUGGAGAACCUGGUGUAAAUGAUGGCAAGUUAGAGACAAAACCCAAAAGCAAGACACAUUUGAAGAAUAUAACCAUCACUCACAGGAAAAUGCUAGCUGUGCAAAGAGGCCACAUACAUAAGAAAGUUGCUGAGAAAUUUCAGUCUAAAAUCCAUUCUUAUAAAAAAAAAGAUAUCCUUCAGGAGAAAAAUCCCAUAAAUACAAUUCACCUAGAAAGAUCUUCAAACAGAAUUCACAUCUAAUUAAACAUAAGGAGAUUUAUUCAGCAGAAAAGCUUCAUCAAUGCCUUCAAUGUGGGAGAGACUUCAGCAAUAACACACACCUCGAAAACCAUCAGAGAACCCAUUCCAUAUAAAUGAGAAGCCAUAUAAAUGUAGUGAAUGUGGGAAGGCCUUUAGUUAUGCUUCCUCCCUCACAAAACAUCAUAGAAUACAUACAGGAGAAAAGCCCUAUGUAUGUAAAGAAUGUGGGAAAGCUUUCAGUGAGAGCUCAAACCUCAUUCAACAUAGGAAAAUUCAUACUGUAGAAAAACUCUAUAAAUGUAAGGAAUGUGGAAAAGCUUUCAACAAGAAUUCAUCCCUUACUCAACAUCUCAGAAUUCAUACUGGAGAGAGGCCCUACAAAUGUAAGGAAUGUGGGAAAGCAUUCAGUGAAUACUCAAAUCUGAUUCAAUAUAAGAAAAUUCAUACUGGAGAAAAACUCUAUAAAAUGUAAUGAAUGUGGGAAAGCUUUCAAUAAAAAUUCAGCCCUUACUCA